This 547-nucleotide ribosomal RNA is filed under the name uncultured bacterium. RNAcentral's name for it is "bacterial SSU rRNA". It matches the Rfam family "Bacterial small subunit ribosomal RNA", at positions 355 to 896 of the family's 1533-position model. The record is from RNAcentral.
UGGGGAAUAUUGCGCAAUGGGGGGAACCCUGACGCAGCCAUGCCGCGUGAAUGAAGAAGGCCUUCGGGUUGUAAAGUUCUUUCGGUAUUGAGGAAGGUUGAUGUGUUAAUAGCACAUCAAAUUGACGUUAAAUACAGAAGAAGCACCGGCUAACUCCGUGCCAGCAGCCGCGGUAAUACGGAGGGUGCGAGCGUUAAUCGGAAUAACUGGGCGUAAAGGGCACGCAGGCGGUUAUUUAAGUGAGGUGUGAAAGCCCCGGGCUUAACCUGGGAAUUGCAUUUCGGACUGGGUAACUAGAGUACUUUAGGGAGGGGUAGAAUUCCACGUGUAGCGGUGAAAUGCGUAGAGAUGUGGAGGAAUACCGAAGGCGAAGGCAGCCCCUUGGGAAUGUACUGACGCUCAUGUGCGAAAGCGUGGGGAGCAAACAGGAUUAGAUACCCUGGUAGUCCACGCUGUAAACGCUGUCGAUUUGGGGGUUGGGGUUUAACUCUGGCGCCCGUAGCUAACGUGAUAAAUCGACCGCCUGGGGAGUACGGCCGCAAGGUUA